This 854-nucleotide ribosomal RNA is filed under the name Latilactobacillus sakei. RNAcentral describes it as "bacterial SSU rRNA". It matches the Rfam family "Bacterial small subunit ribosomal RNA", at positions 538 to 1393 of the family's 1533-position model. The record is from RNAcentral. Lineage: Bacteria; Bacillati; Bacillota; Bacilli; Lactobacillales; Lactobacillaceae.
GCAGCGUGUCGGAUUUAUGGGCGUAAAGCGAGCGCAGGCGGUUUCUUAAGUCUGAUGUGAAAGCUUCGGCUCAACCGAAGAAGUGCAUCGGAAACUGGGAAACUUGAGUGCAGAAGAGGACAGUGGAACUCCAUGUGUAGCGGUGAAAUGCGUAGAUAUAUGGAAGAACACCAGUGGCGAAGGCGGCUGUCUGGUCUGUAACUGACGCUGAGGCUCGAAAGCAUGGGUAGCAAACAGGAUUAGAUACCCUGGUAGUCCAUGCCGUAAACGAUGAGUGCUAGGUGUUGGAGGGUUUCCGCCCUUCAGUGCCGCAGCUAACGCAUUAAGCACUCCGCCUGGGGAGUACGACCGCAAGGUUGAAACUCAAAGGAAUUGACGGGGGCCCGCACAAGCGGUGGAGCAUGUGGUUUAAUUCGAAGCAACGCGAAGAACCUUACCAGGUCUUGACAUCCUUUGACCACUCUAGAGAUAGAGCUUUCCCUUCGGGGACAAAGUGACAGGUGGUGCAUGGUUGUCGUCAGCUCGUGUCGUGAGAUGUUGGGUUAAGUCCCGCAACGAGCGCAACCCUUAUUACUAGUUGCCAGCAUUUAGUUGGGCACUCUAGUGAGACUGCCGGUGACAAACCGGAGGAAGGUGGGGACGACGUCAAAUCAUCAUGCCCCUUAUGACCUGGGCUACACACGUGCUACAAUGGAUGGUACAACGAGUUGCGAGACCGCGAGGUUUAGCUAAUCUCUUAAAACCAUUCUCAGUUCGGAUUGUAGGCUGCAACUCGCCUACAUGAAGCCGGAAUCGCUAGUAAUCGCGGAUCAGCAUGCCGCGGUGAAUACGUUCCCGGGCCUUGUACACACCGC